GGAGAACAGAACUAAAAUUAAAAUAUGAAAGAAUAAAUAUGCAAUAAACAUUGUAUAAGUGGAAAGCCAGCCACUUUAAAAAGAUAUUCCAAACCAAAACAUGGGUUACCAAAGCAGGCAAUAAAAAGAAAAGGUGAUCUAGAAUGCAAUAAAAGAGCUGAUGAAAGAAGUAAAUGUAAAGAAAAUAAUGCCGAGACUUCUCUCGACCAUGAACAAACACCAGAUAUUUUAUAUAUGUAGAAAAAGGAAAAACUGCUGGAACUUUAAUUUAAAGGCUUUUGACUAGUGAAGAUUUGGAUAAACAACGGGAGUUACUUUGGGCUAUAGCUACGUGCAAAUUUAUUUUCUUGUGGCUUCCUAUGUUUAU
Diabrotica virgifera virgifera (western corn rootworm) is the source of this 367-nucleotide long non-coding RNA. RefSeq lists it as uncharacterized. The record is from RefSeq and is a predicted model, not a curated record. The transcript is spliced from 3 exons. Lineage: Eukaryota; Metazoa; Arthropoda; Insecta; Coleoptera; Chrysomelidae.